Molecule: unclassified non-coding RNA, 348 nt
Filed under: soil metagenome
Description: partial contains 5.8S ribosomal RNA, internal transcribed spacer 2, and large subunit ribosomal RNA
Rfam family: 5.8S ribosomal RNA (bases 1-120)
Source: RNAcentral
GAUGAAGAACGUAGCAAAAUGCGAUAAGUAAUGUGAAUUGCAGAAUUCAGUGAAUCAUCGAGUCUUUGAACGCACAUUGCGCCCCCUGGUAUUCCGGGGGGCAUGCCUGUCCGAGCGUCAUUGCUGCCCUCAAGCACGGCUUGUGUGUUGGGCCCCCGUCCCCGGUUUCCCCCGGGGACGGGCCCGAAAGGCAGCGGCGGCACCGCGUCCGGUCCUCGAGCGUAUGGGGCUUUGUCACCCGCUCUGUAGGCCCGGCCGGCGCCAGCCGACACCCAACUUUAUUUCUAAGGUUGACCUCGGAUCAGGUAGGGAUACCCGCUGAACUUAAGCAUAUCAAUAAGCGGAGGA